GACGAACGCUGGCGGCGUGCUUAACACAUGCCAGUCGAACGGAAAGGCCCUGCUUUUGUGGGACGCCCGAGUGGCGAACGGGUGAGGAACACGUGAGUAACCUGCCCUUGACUUUGGGAUAACUUCAGGAAACUGGGGCUAAUACCGGAUAGGAGCUCCUGCUGCAUGGUGGGGGUUGGAAAGUUUCGGCGGUUGGGGAUGGACUCGCGGCUUAUCAGCUUGUUGGUGGGGUAGUGGCUUACCAAGGCUUUGACGGGUAGCCGGCCUGAGAGGGUGACCGGCCACAUUGGGACUGAGAUACGGCCCAGACUCCUACGGGAGGCAGCAGUGGGGAAUAUUGCACAAUGGGCGGAAGCCUGAUGCAGCAACGCCGCGUGCGGGAUGACGGCCUUCGGGUUGUAAACCGCUUUCGCCUGUGACGAAGCGUGAUUGACGGUAAUGGGUAAAGAAGCACCGGCUAACUCCGUG
RNAcentral lists this ribosomal RNA (468 nucleotides) under uncultured bacterium. Its description in RNAcentral is "partial 16S ribosomal RNA". It matches the Rfam family "Bacterial small subunit ribosomal RNA", at positions 28 to 507 of the family's 1533-position model. The record is from RNAcentral.